AAACCAUGGUGAGGACACUCCAAGAGGAGGUCUUUAAAGCGUUCCAUGCAUCGAGAAAAUGAUUCAUUGGAUCGUUGGUGAAACUAGAGAAUGUCGUUCCUAAGUUU
RNAcentral lists this small nucleolar RNA (107 nucleotides) under Cephalotus follicularis. RNAcentral describes it as "Plant small nucleolar RNA R71". It matches the Rfam family "Plant small nucleolar RNA R71". From Rfam's summary of the family: R71 is a member of the C/D box family of snoRNAs containing the C (UGAUGA) and D (CUGA) box motifs. Multiple nearly identical copies of this snoRNA have been identified in Arabidopsis, and it is thought to function as a 2'-O-ribose methylation guide for 18S ribosomal RNA. The record is from Rfam by way of RNAcentral. Lineage: Eukaryota; Viridiplantae; Streptophyta; Magnoliopsida; Oxalidales; Cephalotaceae.